This 1150-nucleotide long non-coding RNA is filed under the name Gopherus agassizii (Agassiz's desert tortoise). RNAcentral describes it as "lncRNA (ENSGAGG00000007378.1)". Lineage: Eukaryota; Metazoa; Chordata; Testudines; Testudinidae. The record is from RNAcentral.
AUGGAACUGAGCACACAAGCCCUGCGGUUAGUACUGUACAUUAUGAUAAGAAUCGCUCGCUUCAAAGACCCCCCUCGGGGAGAGGGUUGGGAAGUGAAACAUACGAACGAGUCACCCCGCUGGCAUAACUCAGUGCAGUGUUUGCAGAGGCAUGUGGGACAGAAAAGCGAAGCUCCUCCCCCCACCCAUUGCUACGAAUGCGCUAGGGAAAGUGAACAUAGAGAGAUUCCAGCACCACCGGGUUGGGAAGUAGCAGGGAGGGAACUCAGCAAAGGUUAUGGCAAGAUGCUAGGAUGCCUCAUCGACCCAGAAGCCAGACACAACAGCAAUAACUCUAGUAAAGGAUCACUGGAAAAUGGUCAGACGCAUGACAGCCCCUACUGCCCUCAGCCUUGGGUAGCACCAUGCACGGCAAGGUUCCAGCACAGCUCUUGGCCCCGAUGUGGUCUGAGAAUGGCUGAUGUUGGGGAAAGAACUACCUGGCUGAGGCUAACAGUUCAUCCCCUGUAAAGGAGAGAGACCAGCCCGCCCCCACUUCUCUCUCUGCUGUCACCUUGUAGUUACUGGGUGACAGUGGAAUGUAAUACACUACAGAGAGUAUUUUGGGCAGGGGAUCAAAGGCCUUUACAAGUCAUGCAAUGUUAUCUGCAUUAAAGCUCCACUGGGGGGAAAGUGACACCGAUAAGGAUUUGGGGUCUUAGGUUUAUAACCAAGUUGGUUUUUCAAGAAAACAAAAAUAUUACCCGUUUAUAGUACAUUUCUUCCGAUCCUACGCCACUGAACUAGCAAUUCUGAUUCUUCCCUUGUAGUCCUCCAGGCUUUACUUGGCCUUCGCCCAAGUGUAUGCUGUAGCUACAGUAAGACUGGACUGUUGUAUGCUUUACAGUACACAGGCUCCUCGAUAUGGGAUGAUCGAGAGGAUUGGGUUGCUGUACUGCAGAAAUCAACAGUGGAGGAUUUAGGUACUGGUCUAAAGCCCAUUGAAGUCACUGGGCGUUUUCCCAUUGCCUUUGGAUCAGGCUCCUUAACCAGCCUCUGCUAUUACAGAUGUUUCCCAAAAGCUGUGGGUCCUUAAUGCUCAUUGUAGAUCUCAUCUACCUAGGUUUCUUUAUAAAAUAAUAAAAUAUAUUUAUACGAGGAAAACUGUACA